Molecule: small nuclear RNA, 153 nt
Organism: Armigeres subalbatus
Lineage: Eukaryota; Metazoa; Arthropoda; Insecta; Diptera; Culicidae
Product: U4atac minor spliceosomal RNA
Exons: 1
Source: RefSeq, a predicted model, not a curated record
UUCUUCCUUGUCUUGGGGAGCAUAAUAUCCAAUGAACGUUUAGUGAGGAUAUUGAUGCUGGCACCCACAUGAAUGUGCGAAUUUUAUUUGCAAUCCCCCCGCUCGGGUAGCCGCUUUCGAACAGUGCGCUAUCUGGGCGGAAUUUUUGGAACG